AGAGACAGAGAAAGAGAGAGAAUGUAGAGAUUGGCAUUGUAUGUUAAAGGUGGCUUUUGCAAUUGUUAUGAAAUUUGGCUGCUUCUUGCUCAGUGUCUGCAUUCACAUUCCGGGAAUUAAAAAUGUUAAGGUAACAAAUGUUAAGACUAGUUCUCGUCAACUGAAAAUGUUGAAAAAGCUGAUGUUUGGGGUGUAAUUUCUUUUCCUUACUUUUGAGGAAGUUAUUGAAACAUUUGAAGAAAUUGAGGCAGAGACACAAUACCCAAGGUCACACAAAAUGAAAUAUUGCCAGAAUAAGUGGAUUUUAGAUCUGAUUUCCUAGCUAUGUGGAACACUUAAUCCCUCUGUGUUCAGUUCCAGCAGGUAUAAAAUGAGGGUAAUAUUUGCUUUACCUGCCACAGGAGGUUUUUAUGAGGAUCAGAUGAACUAGUAGGUGCAGGGGCUUAGUCAACUAUAAAGCAUUGUAUUAUAUAAAUAUGAAGUAAUGUUAAAACUAAAUUAUACUUGAGGAUUUUGUGGUAGCAUGUGAAAUAACUGGAAAAAGUAUAAUGUAACAAAAUCUGGGCUGAGAAUAUUUGUAAUACAUACUCAUACUAAUAGAACUGCAAGAAUUUGCUUUUUGCCUGUGUCAGACUUUGUUAAUGACACCACAGAAUCGAUUGUGUUUUGAGUUUUGUGGCCAAGUCACAGCUGAGGUCCAAGCAAUCAACCAGUUUAUCUUCUAGGAGUCUCAAAGUUACUGAACUGGCUAUUUUGGUACUUUAAUAUAAUGUUAGCUUGCUGGUACUAUGUGGAAGAGCCACUCUCUUAAUAUAAAAUAUUCACGUUCUGAUGAUAAAUUUUCUAUCAAACUUUGAGAGCAUUUCUAUAUUUGAUACUUGGAGUUGAAUUAUAGUCAUACUUCAUUUUUGUAUUAUCGUCAUACUUUAUGCUGUGGAAAACUGAGGAAUUAAAAAUGAGUAGCCAAGAUCAUUUCCCUUAAUGGUGAUGUGAAGAGGAUAGGUGAUUCUCUUUCUGAAUAAAACAAGCGUAAAACUGGAUGAGAUUGUCCAAAAUGGUCGUUUCUGGGCACUGGAAACAAAAGGCAGAUAAUAGAUUGAGAAGCGUUAUUGAUACACUGAAUCUUUGGAUGAAUGGAUAAGCAAAUUGUGGUAUAUCUAUAGAAUGGAAUAAUACUCAGUAAUGAAAAGGAAUGGACUAUUGAUACAUACAGUGACAUGUAUGCAUUGCAAAAUAAUAACAUGCUGUGUGAAAGAAGCCAGACACCUUUUCCUACAAAACAGAAUACUGAUUCCAUUUAGGUGAAAUUCUAGAAAAUGCAAGCUAAUCUGUAGUGACAGUAGAUCAGUGCCUGCAGAUCAGAGGAUGGCUUGGGAGAGGAGGGAGAAAGGGAUUCCAAAGGAAAGAGCACAAUGAAACGUUUGGGGGUGAUGUAUAUAUUCAUUAUUUGAUUAUGUCUAAUGAUUUCAUGGGUGUAUACAUAUGUCAAAACUCAUUGUAUAUUUAAAUAUGUGCAAUUUAUUGUAUAUCAAGAGUAACUCAGUAAAGUUAUAAAAACUAAAACUAUGCCCAUUCAAAAAGCAAACAGAUGUUCAUAGUACCAUUAUUCACAGUAGACAAAAACUGGAAACAAUCCAAAUCCAUCAACCGGUGAAUAGAUAAACAAAAUUUGGUAUGUCCAUAUCAGCCAUGAAAAGGAAUAAAAUUCUGAUUCAUGCCACGGGUACAUACUACAAUAUGGUUGAACCUCAGAAACAUUAUGCCAAGUGAAAGGGCUCUGUAUUGUAUGAUACCAUGAUAUGAAACUUUUAGAACAGGCAAAACCUUAGAUCAGAUCAGUACUUUGCCUGGGUGUAGGGUGGCAGCAUGGAGAUUGGUUUUAAACAGGC
RNAcentral lists this long non-coding RNA (1889 nucleotides) under Homo sapiens (human). RNAcentral describes it as "HSALNT0343460". Lineage: Eukaryota; Metazoa; Chordata; Mammalia; Primates; Hominidae. The record is from RNAcentral.